CCUCGCCGAUUUUUAUUCCCGUGCAACCGGUGAAAGAAAAAAAAAAUCCUCCCCAGCGCUCACACCCCACCCCCAUUACCCUCCUGGCAGCGAUGCCGCCCCCGUUCCCCUCGGACGCCAUGGCGGCCGCAGCCCUCCCGAUCCUCCUCUGCACGCAUCGUCGCCUGCAACACCGCUAACCACGGUCUCCACUGGCGUCGUGAUGGUAGCGACCUCCACUCAGAGCCGUCCGCCGUUGGGCCCUUAUACCCCCUCCCGAAGGGAUCCGGCCUCCACCACUGCGUGCGACGGGAUCCACCACGGACAAGGGAACGGCCGCGCUUGGGCGUCGGGAUGUGGUCGUCGCGUGGCGUGGCAUGAUCUAGGCUCUGGAGUUGGUCGAUGACCUGGAGUUCGCCAUUGUACCGCCCAGAGGCCUCCACCAACAACAAGGACAACGCCAGAAACUGAUUUUCAUAAUACCGAGGGAAAUAUUGCGUUGGAACGAUCCCGGGUCGGCGGGGGCGGCCAGACCAGGUGGCAAAUGCGGUGCACAAGUUGAGGAGCGAAGGUAAAGAGGAGAGGCCACGACAACCCGAGCAGCGGCGAGGGGAUGGAGCAGCAGCUGCGCAGCUGCGUCGACCCGAGCAGUUGCGAGAGCGAAUGAAGCUGCGGUUGCACGGACAAGCUUAUGGAGGUGUCAGUAUGCACGCACACGUCCCUGAUUUGGAGCACGCCUCUGGCCUGGUAGGAUUCUCGCUCUGCCUCGACCUCAAGGGCGUUCGUCUAUCUGUGUCAUGCUCGGGACGAUGCACUAAUGCAGGGUGUGGUUCUUCAGAUUUUCUUUGUCUUUUUCUUGGUAUGUAUAUCUCUGAAUCUUGUGAGCCGUGAUUUUCAUGCUGCCCAUUGUGUCAUGUAUAAUGAUUCUUCUUAUUAUUUUUGAAUGGCAUAAUUAUUCUUA
This is a long non-coding RNA of Triticum aestivum (bread wheat), 940 nucleotides long. RefSeq lists it as uncharacterized. The transcript is spliced from 2 exons. Lineage: Eukaryota; Viridiplantae; Streptophyta; Magnoliopsida; Poales; Poaceae. The record is from RefSeq and is a predicted model, not a curated record.